UACGAACUGUGCAAACGUUAUUCGGAAUCACUGGGCGUAAAGCGUGCGUAGGCUGUUUCGCAAGUUGGAAGUGAAAGCCCAGGGCUCAACCCUGGAAUUGCUUUCAAAACUGCGAGACUCGAGUCCGGGAGAGGAUAGCGGAAUUUCCAGUGUAGUAGUGAAAUACGUAGAUAUUGGAAGGAACACCAGUGGCGCAAGCGGCUAUCUGGACCGGUACUGACGCUGAGGCACGAAAGCGUGGGGAUCAAACAGG
This 253-nucleotide ribosomal RNA is filed under the name uncultured bacterium. Its description in RNAcentral is "partial 16S ribosomal RNA". It matches the Rfam family "Bacterial small subunit ribosomal RNA", at positions 524 to 776 of the family's 1533-position model. The record is from RNAcentral.